GCUGAGGUGUGUCUGUGUCGCUAGGGUGACACCAAUGACAGGAGUGUCUCCCUCUGUGACUUCACAUCUGGUCAGUUUGGGGAGGGCAGGGCGCAUCUCCACAUCCCUCCCAUGCAUGCCAAGACAGAAAACCAGCUAAUUUUAAAGAAGAGGACUGAGAGGUGGAAAAAGAAAUAUUGCUUCAGCUCUAAGAGCAAGUAUCUAAUAACAACUCAUGUCUUUGGAAGGAAUACUAACAUGAAGAGAGCUGUUCUACAAUUUGUUCUGUGUCAGAAAACAAAGAAAAAAUGUUUUAAACUGAAGUGAAGCAUCCAGCUGUUACCUUUUUUGGUUGAUUUGUUUGUUUGUUUGGUAGUUUUGCUGCUUAUUGGAUUUCAAAUAAGACUGCCAAAUUGUUAGAGUCAUAGUCAUAAAGUCACAGUCAUUGUAGCCUGCUGUAUUUCUUCAACUCUGAUUUUAGCUUGUCUGAAUUUGUUGUCUACAUUCCCAAAAUGUAAGGGUGAGGGUGAAGAAUGUGGUCCCUGUGCACAGACUUUCCAUUGCCUGGCCCAACAGAAAUAUAACAUGUCAGUUGCACUUGUGUUUUAAAUGAGUGUAUAUGUUCACUUAGAUGAAAGGAAAGUUUGAUAUUAAACAAAUGUCAGCUUGUGUAAGUGGAAAGGUUUGUUUUGUUUUAUUGAGAUUUUUUUGUCUGAAAUCUUUUAUCAAACAUUUAUCAUCAAAGAUGUGCAGGUAAUAUUUGCAGCUCUUCAAAGUAGAAUGGAAUAAUCAAGCACUUAUGCUGUACCCUGUGAAUCAUUUCUGGGGACUUUUUAUCUAGAAAAAUGUGUUAAAGUUUUGUGUUGUUCCCCCCUACCCUACCAACAGGAGAAUAGUUGUUCAGACUAUCCAAAGGAAGAGAAUUUCCUAAUCUUUAACUAGUAGUGCUCUCAAACAGCAAAGCAGAGAAGCUCAGUAAUAAUUGGAAACCAAUCCAUGGCUCUUCAAGUGUAUUUGUUUCCAUUAUGACUUGUGUUUCUGAAUUCUGGUCCUUAAUGCAUUAAGCUGCAAUAUUUUGUGUGACUGUAGAAUACAUCAAGGGCCAUUUUUUUUUUUUUUUCAUGCAGAAUAAAGCUCAGUAUUUCUCAAAUAAACCA
This 1136-nucleotide long non-coding RNA is filed under the name Anser cygnoides (Swan goose). Its description in RNAcentral is "lncRNA (ENSACDG00005010877.1)". The record is from RNAcentral. Lineage: Eukaryota; Metazoa; Chordata; Aves; Anseriformes; Anatidae.